UACGGGGGGGGCAAGCGUUGUUCGGAAUUACUGGGCGUAAAGGGCUCGUAGGCGGCCAACUAAGUCAGACGUGAAAUCCCUCGGCUUAACCGGGGAACUGCAUCUGAUACUGGAUGGCUUGAGAUUGGGAGAGGGAUGCGGAAUUCCAGGUGUAGCGGUGAAAUGCGUAGAUAUCGGUAGGAACACCCGUGGCGAAGGCGGUCUCCUGGGACGUUCUUGACGCUGAGGCGCGAAAGCUGGGGGAGCGAACGGG
Molecule: ribosomal RNA, 253 nt
Filed under: uncultured bacterium
Lineage: Bacteria
Description: partial 16S ribosomal RNA
Rfam family: Bacterial small subunit ribosomal RNA
Source: RNAcentral